GGAUUCCCCUAGUAACUGCGAGUGAAGCGGGAAAAGCUCAAAUUUAAAAUCUGGUGGUCUCUGGCCAUCCGAGUUGUAAUCUAGAGAAGUGUUACCCGCGUCGGACCGUGUAUAAGUCUCCUGGAAUGGGGCGUCAUAGAGGGUGAGAAUCCCGUCUUUGACACGGACUACCGAGGCUUUGUGGUAUGCUCUCAAAGAGUCGAGUUGUUUGGGAAUGCAGCUCAAAAUGGGUGGUAAAUUCCAUCUAAAGCUAAAUAUUGGCGAGAGACCGAUAGCGAACAAGUACCGUGAGGGAAAGAUGAAAAGAACUUUGGAAAGAGAGUUAAACAGUACGUGAAAUUGCUGAAAGGGAAACGCUUGAAGUCAGUCGCGUUGGCCGGGAAUCAGCCUUGCUUUUGCUUGGUGUACUUUCUGGUUGACGGGCCAGCAUCAGUUUUGACCGGUGGAAAAAGUUCAGGGGAAUGUGGCAUCUUCGGGUGUGUUAUAGCCCUUGUUCGUAUACAUCGGUUGGGACUGAGGAACUCAGCACGCCGCAAGGCCGGGUCUUUGACCACGUUCGUGCUUAGGAUGCUGGCAUAAUGGCUUUAAUCGACCCGUCUUGAAACACGGACCAAGGAGUCUAACAUGCCUGCGAGUGUUUGGGUGGAAAACCCGAGCGCGUAAUGAAAGUGAAAGUUGAGAUCCCUGUCAUGGGGAGCAUCGACGCCCGGACCUGACGUUUUCUGACGGCCCUGCGGUAGAGCAUGUAUGUUGGGACCCGAAAGAUGGUGAACUAUGCCUGAAUAGGGUGAAGCCAGAGGAAACUCUGGUGGAGGCUCGUAGCGAUUCUGACGUGCAAAUCGAUCGUCAAAUUUGGGUAUAGGGGCGAAAGACUAAUC
Molecule: ribosomal RNA, 878 nt
Filed under: Psathyrella sp.
Lineage: Eukaryota; Fungi; Basidiomycota; Agaricomycetes; Agaricales; Psathyrellaceae
Description: partial large subunit ribosomal RNA
Rfam family: Eukaryotic large subunit ribosomal RNA
Source: RNAcentral